GACGAACGCUGGCGGCGCGCUUAACACAUGCAAGUCGAACGGAAAGGCCUGCUUUCCCUUGUGGAUUGCGGGUACUCGAGUGGCGAACGGGUGAGUAACACGUGAGUGAUCUGCCCCCAACUUGGUUAUAAGCCUGGGAAACUGGGUCUAAUUCCCGAUAGGACUGCAGGGUGGUGCCUGUGGUGGAAAACGAUUUUCUAGUGGUUGGGGAUGAGCUCGCGGCCUAUCAGCUUGUUGGUGGGGUAAUGGCCUACCAAGGCGGCUACGGGUAGCCGGCCUGAGAGGGUGGACAGCCACAUUGGGACUGGGAUACGGCCCAGACUCCUACGGGAGGCAGCAGUGGGGAAUAUUGCACAAUGGGCGGAAGCCUGAUGCAGCGACGCCGCGUGGGGGAUGUCGGCCUUCGGGUUGUAAACUCCUUUCGACCGCGAGGAAGCCACCUGGUUGGAAGGGUGGUGACGGUAGUGGUAGAAGAAGCACCGGCUAACUACGUG
RNAcentral lists this ribosomal RNA (494 nucleotides) under uncultured bacterium. Its description in RNAcentral is "partial 16S ribosomal RNA". It matches the Rfam family "Bacterial small subunit ribosomal RNA", at positions 28 to 507 of the family's 1533-position model. The record is from RNAcentral.